UACAGGGGGUGCAAACGUUGCUCGGAAUCAUUGGGCGUAAAGCGCACGUAGGCGGUCUGUUAAGUCGGACGUGAAAUCCCUCGGCUCAACCGGGGAACUGCGUCCGAUACUGGCGGGCUUGAAUUCGGGAGAGGGAUGUGGAAUUCCAGGUGUAGCGGUGAAAUGCGUAGAUAUCUGGAGGAACACCGGUGGCGAAGGCGGCAUCCUGGACCGACAUUGACGCUGAGGCGCGAAAGCCAGGAGAGCAAACGGG
RNAcentral lists this ribosomal RNA (253 nucleotides) under uncultured bacterium. RNAcentral's name for it is "partial 16S ribosomal RNA". It matches the Rfam family "Bacterial small subunit ribosomal RNA", at positions 524 to 776 of the family's 1533-position model. The record is from RNAcentral.